GAUGCAGCCAUGCCGCGUGUAUGAAGAAGGCCUUCGGGUUGUAAAGUACUUUCAGCGGGGAGGAAGGCGAUAAGGUUAAUAACCUUGUCGAUUGACGUUACCCGCAGAAGAAGCACCGGCUAACUCCGUGCCAGCAGCCGCGGUAAUACGGAGGGUGCAAGCGUUAAUCGGAAUUACUGGGCGUAAAGCGCACGCAGGCGGUCUGUCAAGUCGGAUGUGAAAUCCCCGGGCUCAACCUGGGGACUGCAUUCGAAACUGGCAGGCUAGAGUCUUGUAGAGGGGGGUAGAAUUCCAGGUGUAGCGGUGAAAUGCGUAGAGAUCUGGAGGAAUACCGGUGGCGAAGGCGGCCCCCUGGACAAAGACUGACGCUCAGGUGCGAAAGCGUGGGGAGCAAACA
Molecule: ribosomal RNA, 397 nt
Filed under: uncultured bacterium
Lineage: Bacteria
Also listed under: 1 other name
Description: bacterial SSU rRNA
Rfam family: Bacterial small subunit ribosomal RNA
Source: RNAcentral